GGAUGUGACAGCGAUCUGGCUGCAGCAUCUGUCCCGCCACUCAUUGCCAGGAUUGAUUCAGCUAAUCUGACUGGCUAGGCUGGCGUCCCUUUCCUCCUAGGCUGCUCCAUGUGCAUCCCUCACAGAGCUGCAUUCUCAAAUGAAGAGGAUGGCUUUACCCAAUAGAGGAAGACCAGUCUUCCAUCAAGGGUAUAUAAGUAGCUGUGCUCUCCUGCUAGAACCUUCGAACAAGCGCUCAAGAUAUUAUGCACUGGUGAUAACGGGAGAGGAAUACAAGAGGUUAACAAGGGGUGAAUAUGCUCAACAUACAUUAUACGCAUGGUUGACAUUGUCAAAUAAAUGAAAACCAUUUUAA
Molecule: small nuclear RNA, 355 nt
Filed under: Mus pahari (shrew mouse)
Lineage: Eukaryota; Metazoa; Chordata; Mammalia; Rodentia; Muridae
Description: sRNA (MGP_PahariEiJ_G0007958.1)
Rfam family: 7SK RNA
About the family: 7SK was discovered as an abundant small nuclear RNA in the mid-70s but a possible function has only recently been suggested. Two independent studies have found that 7SK RNA binds the CDK9/cyclin T complex (known as elongation factor P-TEFb).
Source: RNAcentral